GGGUCGUUAGCUCAGUUGGUAGAGCAGUCUCAGUUGGUAGAGCAGUUGACUUUUAAUCAAUUGGUCGCAGGUUCGAAUCCUGCACGACCCACCA
Molecule: transfer RNA, 94 nt
Filed under: Escherichia coli
Lineage: Bacteria; Pseudomonadati; Pseudomonadota; Gammaproteobacteria; Enterobacterales; Enterobacteriaceae
Description: tRNA-???(tg)
Rfam family: tRNA
About the family: Transfer RNA (tRNA) molecules are approximately 80 nucleotides in length. Their secondary structure includes four short double-helical elements and three loops (D, anti-codon, and T loops).
Source: RNAcentral